GGCUCCUUGGUCAAGCGGCUAAGACGCCGCCCUCUCACGGCGGAAACACGAGUUCGAUUCUCGUAGGAGUCA
This 72-nucleotide transfer RNA is filed under the name Clostridia bacterium. RNAcentral describes it as "tRNA-Glu". It matches the Rfam family "tRNA". Rfam says of the family: Transfer RNA (tRNA) molecules are approximately 80 nucleotides in length. Their secondary structure includes four short double-helical elements and three loops (D, anti-codon, and T loops). Further hydrogen bonds mediate the characteristic L-shaped molecular structure. tRNAs have two regions of fundamental functional importance: the anti-codon, which is responsible for specific mRNA codon recognition, and the 3' end, to which the tRNAs corresponding amino acid is attached (by aminoacyl-tRNA synthetases). tRNAs cope with the degeneracy of the genetic code in two manners: having more than one tRNA (with a specific anti-codon) for a particular amino acid; and 'wobble' base-pairing, i.e. permitting non-standard base-pairing at the 3rd anti-codon position. RNAcentral also lists the same sequence under 1 other name. Lineage: Bacteria; Bacillati; Bacillota; Clostridia. The record is from RNAcentral.